This 425-nucleotide ribosomal RNA is filed under the name uncultured bacterium. RNAcentral's name for it is "partial 16S ribosomal RNA". It matches the Rfam family "Bacterial small subunit ribosomal RNA", at positions 354 to 796 of the family's 1533-position model. The record is from RNAcentral.
GUAGGGAAUCUUAGACAAUGGGGGAAACCCUGAUCUAGCCAUGCCGCGUGAGCGAUGAAGGCCUUAGGGUUGUAAAGCUCUUUCAGCUGGGAAGAUAAUGACUGUACCAGCAGAAGAAGCCCCGGCUAACUCCGUGCCAGCAGCCGCGGUAAUACGGAGGGGGCUAGCGUUGUUCGGAAUUACUGGGCGUAAAGCGCACGUAGGCGGACCGGAAAGUCAGAGGUGAAAUCCCAGGGCUCAACCUUGGAACUGCCUUUGAAACUCCUGGUCUUGAGGUCGAGAGAGGUGAGUGGAAUUCCGAGUGUAGAGGUGAAAUUCGUAGAUAUUCGGAGGAACACCAGUGGCGAAGGCGGCUCACUGGCUCGAUACUGACGCUGAGGUGCGAAAGCGUGGGGAGCAAACAGGAUUAGAAACCCGUGUAGUCC